AUUGAACGCUGGCGGCAGGCCUAACACAUGCAAGUCGAGCGGAUGAAGGGAGCUUGCUCCUGGAUUCAGCGGCGGACGGGUGAGUAAUGCCUAGGAAUCUGCCUGGUAGUGGGGGAUAACGUCCGGAAACGGGCGCUAAUACCGCAUACGUCCUGAGGGAGAAAGUGGGGGAUCUUCGGACCUCACGCUAUCCGAUGAGCCCAGGUCGGAUUAGCUAGUUGGUGGGGUAAAGGCCUACCAAGGCGACGAUCCGUAACUGGUCUGAGAGGAUGAUCAGUCACACUGGAACUGAGACACGGUCCAGACUCCUACGGGAGGCAGCAGUGGGGAAUAUUGGACAAUGGGCGAAAGCCUGAUCCAGCCAUGCCGCGUGUGUGAAGAAGGUCUUCGGAUUGUAAAGCACUUUAAGUUGGGAGGAAGGGCAGUAAGUUAAUACCUUGCUGUUUUGACGUUACCAACAGAAUAAGCACCGGCUAACUUCGUG
This 484-nucleotide ribosomal RNA is filed under the name uncultured bacterium. Its description in RNAcentral is "partial 16S ribosomal RNA". It matches the Rfam family "Bacterial small subunit ribosomal RNA", at positions 30 to 507 of the family's 1533-position model. The record is from RNAcentral.